GAUGAACGCUGGCGGCGUGCCUAAUGCAUGCAAGUCGAGCGAACGGACGAUAAGCUUUCUCCUCUGAUGUUAGCGGCGGACGGGUGAGUAACACGUGGAUAACCUACCUAUAAUUCGUGGAUAACUUCGUGAAACCGUAGCUGAUACCGGAUAAUAUUUUGAACCGCAUGGUUCAAAAGUGAAAGACGGUCUUGCUGUCACUUAUAGAUGGUUCCGCGCUGCAUUAGCUAGUUGGUAAGGUAACGGCUUACCAAGGCAACGAUGCAUAGCCGACCUGAGAGGGUGAUCGGCCACACUGGAACUGAGACACGGUCCAGACUCCUACGGGAGGCAGCAGUAGGGAAUCUUCCGCAAUGGGCGAAAGCCUGACGGAGCAACGCCGCGUGAGUGAUGAAGGUCUUCGGAUCGUAAAACUCUGUUAUUAGGGAAGAAAAUAUGUGUAAUAAACUGCGCACAUCUUGACGGUACCUAAUCAGAAAGCCCCGGCUAACUACGUG
This 497-nucleotide ribosomal RNA is filed under the name uncultured bacterium. RNAcentral's name for it is "partial 16S ribosomal RNA". It matches the Rfam family "Bacterial small subunit ribosomal RNA", at positions 28 to 507 of the family's 1533-position model. The record is from RNAcentral.